This 465-nucleotide ribosomal RNA is filed under the name uncultured bacterium. RNAcentral describes it as "partial 16S ribosomal RNA". It matches the Rfam family "Bacterial small subunit ribosomal RNA", at positions 338 to 795 of the family's 1533-position model. The record is from RNAcentral.
CCUACGGGAGGCAGCAGUGGGGAAUAUUGGGCAAUGGGCGCAAGCCUGACCCAGCAACGCCGCGUGAAGGAAGAAGGUCUUCGGAUCGUAAACCUCUGUCAGCAGGGAAGAACGGUCACUGUGCUAAUCAGCAGUGAAUUGACGGUACCUGCAAAGGAAGAACCGGCUAACUCCGUGCCAGCAGCCGCGGUAAUACGGAGGGUGCGAGCGUUAAUCGGAAUUAUUGGGCGUAAAGCGCUCGUAGGCGGUCUGUUAAGUCAAGGGUGAAAUCCCUGGGCUCAACGUGGGAACUGCCUUUGAUACUGGCAGACUGGAGUGUGUGAGAGGAUAGUGGAAUUAGAGGUGUAGGAGUGAAAUCCGUAGAUAUCUGGAGGAACAUCAGUGGCGAAGGCAGCUAUCUGGCACAUAACUGACGCUGAGGAGCGAAAGCGUGGGUAGCAAACAGGAUUAGAUACCCCUGUAGUC